UCUCCUCAGGACAGUUCUGUUUAAGCUGUAUGUCUUCAGACCUUAUCACUUCUACUUCGUAGUCUACCCAUCCGUCCUUGAUGAUUUGCCUCCUCUGGUUUCGGUUGCGUCGUCUUCUUCUCAGAGGGGAAGUGCAUGUGGACUUCUCUAGUUCCAAUAUAGAUGAUAGCUUUGAUAGUGUUGAGGAACGGUCUUCCAAGGAUGAUGGGUGGAUCGUACUCGUCUUCUCCUAUGUCAAUGACCUGAAAAUCAUCUGGAGCUGAAUGUAUGUUGGUUGUAGGGGCAUUGUUCCAUGCUGAAAGUCCUAGUUUGGUUUUGGAUAAUUGAUGAAACCUAUGUGUACUAACCUUUGUC
This 354-nucleotide long non-coding RNA is filed under the name Sorghum bicolor (sorghum). RNAcentral describes it as "long non-coding RNA (SBIC_LNC010865)". Lineage: Eukaryota; Viridiplantae; Streptophyta; Magnoliopsida; Poales; Poaceae. The record is from RNAcentral.